GAGUUUGGAGGGCAAAGAGAAGCCGGGAAACCUGAGUUCUGGGCCCAGCUUACCUCCGUGACUUUCAAGGGCCUCCGUUUCCUCAUCUAUAAAACGGACAAACUGAAGACUGCCCUUCACCCACGAGUGGUUAUACAAUGAGAAGAGGGGAAUCCUCUGCUCGGAAGGUGAAAUCAGUCGCCCAUAGACGUGACUCGUGAUGAAAACGCCACCUGAGGCUGCGGAGGAGCUCAGCUCGGGACCAGCAGAGGAGGGAUCACAAGAAAUCCAUGAAGCAGAUGCUCGCUCCUGGAAGAAGAAAGCUGGCUGUGGUUCCAGACCUGACUCCAGACUCUCAGCGCUGGAAAUACAAGAUCCUACUUUGCAGAAAUCAGUCUAUGCCCUGUGGAGUCUGAAAAAAUGCCUCCAGGGGCCUAUGGGUACAGAGGCAGAGAGACAGAGUAACAUGAGCCUUGACUCCAGAAUUGUAUCUGAUUCCUGUCCCAACUCCAUCUCCAACCAACAAGACAGGUAAUUUCAUCAAAUUCCUUAAAUUUUCCAGCUCUUGGUUCUCUCGUAGGGUGGUCAUGAGCAUUAAUGAGCUAAUGCAUGUACCAUACCUAGUGUCACGCGUAUGUGGAUAUUUUUUAAACACAAUCAGUUUUAUCGUUAAGAUGUGUACAAGAAACAGCAAGUUAUAAGGUAUUAGUACAAGAUGUGAUGUGCUUCCAUUAUGGACAUUCUUGAGACCUAGAGCACCUAUAUUUGGGAAAUGGAAACCAUGAGAGUGACUGGUCCUUUUAACUUGAUAUAUACUGCCACUGCUCUCAACACAUUUCCAUGCACAUCAGCAAUGCCGUUGAAUGAACAAAGGGUUUAAAGAAUGAAGAGGUGGAUGGAGGCAAGGACCUAAACUGGCCAACACUAUUUUAAAAUCUCUACCACCUCUGUGUCAGCCAGCUUUCCAUCUAUGGCGAAACACCUGAGCUAAAGAGCUUAAAAUGAUGAAUCAUUUCCUUUGGUUCACACUUUCAAAGGUUUCAGUUCAUGCUUUCUCGGCCAUGUUGCCUUUGGUCCUGUGGUGAGGCAGUACCUCAUGGUGGGGAGCACAGAGUAGACAGGAGUUCUCACUUCAUGGUAGUCAGGAAGGAUAAGGACUGCAAGGAAGGGGCAGGAUCCCAAAAUCCUUUCCAGGGCACACCUGCCAUGAUCUUCCAUUGCUCUAAAGUCCAACUCCAAAGUCUCCUCUGAGACUCAAGGCAAACUCUUCGCUGUGAGCCUCCUCUGUAAAAAUUAGAAAAUUAUAUACUCUCAGGAUACAGUGCCACAAGUUAAAC
This 1316-nucleotide long non-coding RNA is filed under the name Fukomys damarensis (Damara mole-rat). Its description in RNAcentral is "lncRNA (ENSFDAG00000029862.1)". The record is from RNAcentral. Lineage: Eukaryota; Metazoa; Chordata; Mammalia; Rodentia; Bathyergidae.